RNAcentral lists this ribosomal RNA (452 nucleotides) under uncultured bacterium. RNAcentral's name for it is "bacterial SSU rRNA". It matches the Rfam family "Bacterial small subunit ribosomal RNA", at positions 38 to 507 of the family's 1533-position model. The record is from RNAcentral.
GGCGGCGUGCCUAACACAUGCAAGUCGAGCGAGUAAAUCUCCUUCGGGAGUGAAGCUAGCGGCGGACGGGUGAGUAACACGUGGGCAACCUGCCUCAUAGAGGGAAUAGCCUUCCGAAAGGAAGAUUAAUACCGCAUAAGAUUGUAGCUUCGCAUGAAGUAGCAAUUAAAGGAGCAAUCCGCUAUGAGAUGGGCCCGCGGCGCAUUAGCUAGUUGGUGAGGUAACGGCUCACCAAGGCGACGAUGCGUAGCCGACCUGAGAGGGUGAUCGGCCACAUUGGGACUGAGACACGGCCCAGACUCCUACGGGAGGCAGCAGUGGGGAAUAUUGCACAAUGGGGAAACCCUGAUGCAGCAACGCCGCGUGAGUGAUGACGGCCUUCGGGUUGUAAAGCUCUGUCUUCAGGGACGAUAAUGACGGUACCUGAGGAGGAAGCCACGGCUAACUACGUG